RNAcentral lists this ribosomal RNA (404 nucleotides) under Actinomycetes bacterium. RNAcentral describes it as "Actinobacteria bacterium partial 16S ribosomal RNA". It matches the Rfam family "Bacterial small subunit ribosomal RNA", at positions 355 to 776 of the family's 1533-position model. The record is from RNAcentral. Lineage: Bacteria; Bacillati; Actinomycetota; Actinomycetes.
UGGGGAAUAUUGGACAAUGGGCGCAAGCCUGAUCCAGCCAUGCCGCGUGAGUGAUGAAGGCCCUAGGGUUGUAAAGCUCUUUCACCGGUGAAGAUAAUGACGGUAACCGGAGAAGAAGCCCCGGCUAACUCCGUGCCAGCAGCCGCGGUAAUACGAAGGGGGCUAGCGUUGUUCGGAUUUACUGGGCGUAAAGCGCACGUAGGCGGACUUUUAAGUCAGGGGUGAAAUCCCGGGGCUCAACCCCGGAACUGCCUUUGAUACUGGAAGUCUUGAGUAUGGUAGGGGUGAGUGGAAUUCCGGGUGUAGAGGGGAAAUUCGUAGAUAUUCGGAGGAACACCAGUGGCGAAGGCGGCUCACUGGACCAUUACUGACGCUGAGGUGCGAAAGCGUGGGGAGCAAACAGG